Molecule: ribosomal RNA, 253 nt
Filed under: uncultured bacterium
Lineage: Bacteria
Description: partial 16S ribosomal RNA
Rfam family: Bacterial small subunit ribosomal RNA
Source: RNAcentral
UACGGAGGGUGCAAGCGUUAUCCGGAUUCACUGGGUUUAAAGGGUGCGUAGGCGGGCAGGUAAGUCAGUGGUGAAAUCUCUGGGCUUAACCCGGAAACUGCCGUUGAUACUAUCUGUCUUGAAUAUCGUGGAGGUAAGCGGAAUAUGUCAUGUAGCGGUGAAAUGCUUAGAUAUGACAUAGAACACCCAUUGCGAAGGCAGCUUACUACACGAUCAUUGACGCUGAGGCACGAAAGCGUGGGGAGCAAACAGG